Molecule: long non-coding RNA, 1335 nt
Filed under: Triticum aestivum (bread wheat)
Lineage: Eukaryota; Viridiplantae; Streptophyta; Magnoliopsida; Poales; Poaceae
Description: long non-coding RNA (TAES_LNC028433)
Source: RNAcentral
UCAACUUAUCUCUUUCAACUUGGAUACCAUGAGGCGGGCCUUGGAAAGUUUUUGAAUAAGUAGGGGGAAUUCGUAGAUCCUCCAAACGUAGAGCACGUAGGGCUUUGAAACCAAAUACGUUACCUACAAUGGAAGUAAACAUGUUAGUAACGGAACCCUCUUCAAAUAGGUCUAAUGGAUAAGCUACAUAACAGAUCCAUUGGUUGUCUUCCCCAGCAACAGGCUCGAUGUGAUAGCAUCGUCCUUUGUAACGAUCAAGACUGGUAAGUCCAUCAGUCCAAACAGUUGUCCAUGUACCAGUAGAAGAUUCGGCAGCUACUGCAGCCCCUGCUUCUUCGGGCGGAACCCCAGGCUGAGGACUUACUCGGAAUGCUGCCAAGAUAUCAGUAUCCUUAGUUUCAUACUCUGGGGUGUAGUAAGUCAAUUUAUAAUCUUUAACACCAGCUUGAAAUCCAACACCUGCUUUAGUUUCUGUUUGUGGUGACAUAAGUCCCUCCCUAUAACUCUUGAAUUAAGAAUUCUCACAAUAACAGGGUCUUGCUAGUUUUUGAAAGAUAGAUUUUGAAAGAUAGAUUAUGAAAGAUAGAUUUUGAAAGAUAUAUUUUGAAAGAUAGAUUUUGAAAGAUAGAUAUUGUGAUUAGUUCUUUUCUUUACUAUCUACCAUCCUUCUAUUUUUUUUAGUUAUUCACUGGAGCAAUUAUAUAUUGAAGUCAAUCCGAGGCAAGUGUUCGGGUCUAUUAUGACAUAAAGAUUAGGUGCCUAACGGACAUUGUUUAUCUUGAAAAACAAAUAUUUCUCGACGUAAGAAAAAAAUCUUUUUUAUUUUUAAUUUAAGAAACUAGUGUAUUUUUUUUGAGGGCAUAAGCUCCUAUCUAUAUCUACUUUCCUUGAGCAUAAUAUAGGGUUUUUUAUUUGAUUCUAAAUUCCAAGAUAACUCAUUAGAAUUAUUAAUAAGAUGGUCCUAAUAUAUUAGCAAUAUUUAGAUUGCCCCCUCUUUUUAUUCAGUUUAUUACUUCUAUUCUAGACCCUAUCCCUAUGGUUUAUUCUUAUGAAAUAGCAUAUAAAAUAGAAGGUAUAAGAAAUGGAUAUAAUGAAAUUCUUGAUUCGAUCUUAUGACCUAAUUUAUUUGAUUAAUGGAUCAACAACCAAACCACCCAUUUUAUGAAAAAGAAGGAGCAUGGUCUUAUUCAAAUUCAAAGCGCUUCGUAAUCUUCAACCAGUUCUGUGCUUCAAUAUAAUUUCCCGGAGUAAGCGCUAUAGCUUGUUUCCAAUAUUCAGCAGCUUGAUCAAACCAAGCUUCCGCAAUUUCCGAAUCACCCUGUAGAAUGGCCUGUU